Molecule: ribosomal RNA, 600 nt
Filed under: uncultured Actinomycetes bacterium
Lineage: Bacteria; Bacillati; Actinomycetota; Actinomycetes
Description: bacterial SSU rRNA
Rfam family: Bacterial small subunit ribosomal RNA
Source: RNAcentral
GUGAGGUAAUGGCUCACCAAGGCAUCGACGGGUAGCUGGUCUGAGAGGACGAUCAGCCACACUGGGACUGAGACACGGCCCAGACUCCUACGGGAGGCAGCAGUAGGGAAUCUUGCACAAUGGGCGAAAGCCUGAUGCAGCGACGCCACGUGGGGGAUGAAGGCCUUCGGGUUGUAAACCCCUUUCAGUAGGGACGAAAAUGACGGUACCUACAGAAGAAGGUCCGGCCAACUACGUGCCAGCAGCCGCGGUGACACGUAGGCACCAAGCGUUGUCCGGAUUUAUUGGGCGUAAAGAGCUCGUAGGCGGUUCAGUUAGUCGGGUGUGAAAACUCUGGGCUCAACCCAGAGACGCCACCCGAUACUGCUGUGACUAGAGUACGGUAGGGGAGUGGGGAAUUCCUGGUGUAGCGGUGAAAUGCGCAGAUAUCAGGAGGAACACCAGUGGCGAAGGCGCCACUCUGGGCCGUAACUGACGCUGAGGAGCGAAAGCAUGGGUAGCAAACAGGAUUAGAUACCCUGGUAGUCCAUGCCGUAAACGUUGGGCACUAGGUGUGGGUCUCAACCAACGAGAUCCGCGCCGUCGCUAACGCAUUAAGUG